UGGAAGUCGAACGGAGAAUUUAUUUCGGUAAAUUCUUAGUGGCGAACGGGUGAGUAACGCGUAGGCAACCUGCCCUUUGGAUGGGGACAACAUUCCGAAAGGAGUGCUAAUACCGAAUGUGAUCCAUUUCUCGCAUGAGAGAUGGAUGAAAGAUGGCCUCUAUUUAUAAGCUAUCGCCAAAGGAUGGGCCUGCGUCUGAUUAGUUAGUUGGUGGGGUAACGGCUCACCAAGACGAUGAUCAGUAGCCGGUCUGAGAGGAUGAACGGCCACAUUGGGACUGAGACACGGCCCAAACUCCUACGGGAGGCAGCAGUGGGGAAUCUUCCGCAAUGGACGAAAGUCUGACGGAGCAACGCCGCGUGAGUGAUGAAGGUUUUCGGACUGUAAAACUCUGUUGUCAGGGACGAAGGUGCGAUCUGCGAAUAGUUGAUCGUAUUGACGGUACCUGACGAGGAAGCCACGGCUAACUACGUGCCAGCAGCCGCGGUAAUACGUAGGUGGCAAGCGUUGUCCGGAAUUAUUGGGCGUAAAGAGCAUGUAGGUGGGCUUUUAAGUCCGAUGUGAAAAUGCGGGGCUCAACCCCGUAUGGCAUUGGAUACUGGAAGUCUUGAGUG
This 614-nucleotide ribosomal RNA is filed under the name uncultured Acidaminococcus sp. Its description in RNAcentral is "bacterial SSU rRNA". It matches the Rfam family "Bacterial small subunit ribosomal RNA", at positions 56 to 648 of the family's 1533-position model. The record is from RNAcentral. Lineage: Bacteria; Bacillati; Bacillota; Negativicutes; Acidaminococcales; Acidaminococcaceae.